Molecule: non-coding RNA, 28 nt
Filed under: Cricetulus griseus (Chinese hamster)
Lineage: Eukaryota; Metazoa; Chordata; Mammalia; Rodentia; Cricetidae
Source: RNAcentral
GAGAGGGCUGGAGAGAUGGCUCAGAGGU